GGGAAUGUGGCUCAGUGGUAGAGUGCUUGCCUAGCAUGCAUGAAACCCUGGGUUUGAUUCCUUAGUAUAACUU
Dipodomys ordii (Ord's kangaroo rat) is the source of this 73-nucleotide non-coding RNA. NCBI's taxonomy places the organism in Eukaryota, Metazoa, Chordata, Mammalia, Rodentia, Heteromyidae. The record is from Rfam.